GGGCCUAUAGCUCAGCGGUAGAGCCACCGGCUCAUAACCGGUUGGUCCCUGGUUCGAUCCCAGGUGGGCCCACCA
This 75-nucleotide transfer RNA is filed under the name Megasphaera sueciensis. Its description in RNAcentral is "tRNA-Ile". It matches the Rfam family "tRNA". Rfam says of the family: Transfer RNA (tRNA) molecules are approximately 80 nucleotides in length. Their secondary structure includes four short double-helical elements and three loops (D, anti-codon, and T loops). RNAcentral also lists the same sequence under 10 other names. The record is from RNAcentral. Lineage: Bacteria; Bacillati; Bacillota; Negativicutes; Veillonellales; Veillonellaceae.